UUUUCUUUUUCUUUUUUUCUUUUUUUCUUUUUUCUUUCCUUUUUUUUUUUAACCUGCCGUUGAGAUGGAGAGGCUGCAAGAAAGAGUCCUGAAGAAGAAAAGCCUGGAGUGCUGGAAGUAA
RNAcentral lists this non-coding RNA (121 nucleotides) under Karenia brevis. Lineage: Eukaryota; Dinophyceae; Gymnodiniales; Kareniaceae. The record is from RNAcentral.